Molecule: ribosomal RNA, 164 nt
Filed under: Elaeagnus umbellata (autumn-olive)
Lineage: Eukaryota; Viridiplantae; Streptophyta; Magnoliopsida; Rosales; Elaeagnaceae
Description: 5.8S ribosomal RNA
Rfam family: 5.8S ribosomal RNA
About the family: 5.8S ribosomal RNA (5.8S rRNA) is a component of the large subunit of the eukaryotic ribosome. It is transcribed by RNA polymerase I as part of the 45S precursor that also contains 18S and 28S rRNA. Functionally, it is thought that 5.8S rRNA may be involved in ribosome translocation.
Source: RNAcentral
AAAAUGACUCUCGGCAACGGAUAUCUCGGCUCUCGCAUCGAUGAAGAACGUAGCGAAAUGCGAUACUUGGUGUGAAUUGCAGAAUCCCGUGAACCAUCGAGUCUUUGAACGCAAGUUGCGCCCGAAGCCAUCCGGUUGAGGGCACGUCUGCCUGGGCGUCACAC